Sorex araneus (European shrew) is the source of this 107-nucleotide small nuclear RNA. NCBI's taxonomy places the organism in Eukaryota, Metazoa, Chordata, Mammalia, Eulipotyphla, Soricidae. The record is from Ensembl.
GUGCUUGCUUUGGCAGCACAGACACUAAAACUGGAAUGAUACAGAGAAGAUUAGCAUGGACCCUACGCACGGAUGACACACAAAUUCGUGAGGUGCUCCAUGAUUCU